This 960-nucleotide non-coding RNA is filed under the name Megaladapis edwardsi. Its description in RNAcentral is "12S ribosomal RNA". It matches the Rfam family "Bacterial small subunit ribosomal RNA". Lineage: Eukaryota; Metazoa; Chordata; Mammalia; Primates; Lepilemuridae. The record is from RNAcentral.
CACAGGUUUGGUCCUAGCCUUUUUAUUAGUUAUUAGUAAGAUUACACAUGCAAGUAACCGCACUCCAGUGAGAAUGCCCUCUAGGUCACCCGACCAAAAGGAGCAGGUAUCAAGUACACUAACCAGCAGCUCAAAACACCUUGCUAAACCACACCCCCACGGGAUACAGCAGUGAUAAAACUUAAGCAAUAGACGAAAGUCUGACUAAGCUAUACUAACAUUCAGGGUUGGUAAAUUUCGUGCCAGCCACCGCGGCCAUACGAUUAACCCAAACUAAUAUAGAUCGGCGUAAAGCGUGUUUAAUAUUCUCCCCCAAUAAAGUUAAAUUCUGACCAAGCUGUAAAACGCCCCAGUAAGAAUAAAAAUAACCUACGAAAGUGACUUUAGUAACCUGAGAACACGAUAGCUAAGACCCAAACUGGGAUUAGAUACCCCACUAUGCUUAGCCGUAAACCCAAGUAAUCAAUAAACGAGAUUACUCGCCAGAGUACUACAGGCAAUAGCCCAAAACUCAAAGGACUUGGCGGUGCUUUAUAUCCCUCUAGAGGAGCCUGUUCUAUAAUCGAUAAACCCCGAUAAACCUCACCACUUCUUGCUAAUUCAAUCUAUAUACCGCCAUCUUCAGCAAACCCUACCAAGGCCUCAAAGUAAGCAAAAGCAUCAGACAUAAAAACGUUAGGUCAAGGUGUAAUCUAUGGAGUGGAAAGAAAUGGGCUACAUUUUCUAAUAAUAGAACAAUACCCUAACGUCAACCUUUAUGAAACUAAAGACUAAAGGAGGAUUUAGCAGUAAACUAAGAAUAGAGAGCCUAGUUGAAUAGGGCCAUGAAGCACGCACACACCGCCCGUCACCCUCCUCAACUUACUAACUACUAAUUUGCUAACUAUAACACCCUAGUAAAUCAUAAGAGGAGACAAGUCGUAACAAGGUAAGCAUACUGGAAAGUGUGCUUGGAAUACU